AUGAAGAACGCAGCGAAAUGCGAAAAGUAAUGUGAAUUGCAGAAUUCAGUGAAUCAUCGAAUCUUUGAACGCACAUUGCGCCCGCUGGUACUCCGGCGGGCACGCCUGUCCGAGCGUCAUUUCAACCCUCAAGCCCUCCUUCGGGAUGGGCCUGGUGUUGGGGCUCGGCCGCCAUCUCCGGCGGCCGUCCCCUAAAUACAGUGGCGGUCACGUCGCGACUCCUUUGCGUAGUAGAAACACCUCGCUCCGGAUAGCAACGCGGUCCACGCCGUAAAACCACCAAUUUUCAAUGGUUGACCUCGGAUCAGGUGGGAAUACCCGCUGAACUUAAGCAUAUCAAUAAGCGGAGGA
Molecule: unclassified non-coding RNA, 351 nt
Filed under: soil metagenome
Description: partial contains 5.8S ribosomal RNA, internal transcribed spacer 2, and large subunit ribosomal RNA
Rfam family: 5.8S ribosomal RNA (bases 1-119)
Source: RNAcentral